AGCAGCCGCGGUAAUUCCAGCUCCAAUAGCGUAUAUUAAAGUUGUUGCAGUUAAAAAGCUCGUAGUUGAAUUUCGGGGUUAGCAGGUCGGUCGUGCCAAUGGUAUGCACUGGCUCGCUGACUCCUCCUUCUUGUAGAACCGUAAUGCCAUUAAUUUGGUGUUGCGGGGAAACAGGACUGUUACUUUGAAAAAAUUAGAGUGUUUAAAGCAGGCCAACGCCUGAAUACAUUAGCAUGGAAUAAUGAAAUAGGACGUUCGAACCUAUUUUGUUGGUUUCUAGGAUUGACGUAAUGAUUAAUAGGGAUAGUUGGGGGCAUUAGUAUUCAAUUGUCAGAGGUGAAAUUCUUGGAUUUAUUGAAGACUGACUACUGCGAAAGCAUUUGCCAAGGAUGUUUUCAUUAAUCAAGAACGAAAGUUAGGGGAUCGAAGACGAUCAGAUACCGUCGUAGUCUUAACCAUAAACUAUGCCGACUAGGGAUCGGAUGAUGUUAAUUUUUUAAUGACUCAUUCGGCGCCUUACG
RNAcentral lists this ribosomal RNA (521 nucleotides) under uncultured fungus. Its description in RNAcentral is "SSU rRNA". It matches the Rfam family "Eukaryotic small subunit ribosomal RNA", at positions 569 to 1092 of the family's 1831-position model. Lineage: Eukaryota; Fungi. The record is from RNAcentral.